UAGCAGCACGUAAAUACUGGAGUCUAGGAUGAUACAUUUGCCCUCCAGUAUUGCUUUGCUGCUUUA
This 66-nucleotide microRNA precursor is filed under the name Anolis carolinensis (green anole). RNAcentral describes it as "Aca-Mir-15-P2c_pre stem-loop". It matches the Rfam family "mir-16 microRNA precursor family", at positions 10 to 75 of the family's 82-position model. Rfam says of the family: The hairpin precursors (represented here) are predicted based on base pairing and cross-species conservation -- their extents are not known. In this case the mature sequence is excised from the 5' arm of the hairpin. The record is from RNAcentral. Lineage: Eukaryota; Metazoa; Chordata; Lepidosauria; Squamata; Anolidae.